RNAcentral lists this long non-coding RNA (1942 nucleotides) under Mus musculus (house mouse). Its description in RNAcentral is "long non-coding RNA chr14:122908673-122910615". The record is from RNAcentral. Lineage: Eukaryota; Metazoa; Chordata; Mammalia; Rodentia; Muridae.
GGACCAGAGAAGAGGGGCAGAAAGAGUGUUAAGAACCAGAGGGGAUGGAGGACACCAGGAGAACAGGGCCCUUUGAGUCAACUAAGCAGGACUCAUAUGAACUCACAGAGACUGAAGCAGCAAGCACAGGGCCUACAUGGAUCUGCACAGGGCCUGAGUAUAAAUUACAGCUUUCAGUUUAGUAUUUUUAUGGGACUCCUGAGUGUGUGAAUGAGUGGGUCUCUGACUCUUGUGUCUGCUCUUGGGGCUCUUUUCCUUCUGUUGGGUUGCCUUGUCCAGCCUCAGUGUGAUUGAUGGCUUUUGCUUCAUCUUAUUAUUUUUAUUUUGUUAUGUUUGGCUGCUAUCUCAUAGAAGCCUGGUUUUCUGUCUGUCUGUCUGUCUGUCUGUUUGUUUGUUUUUGUUUUCCGAAUGAGAGACAGAAAGGGAGUAGAUCCAGAGAGGAAGGAGAGUUGGGAGGAGAAACUGUAAUCAAGAUAUAUUGUAAGAGAAAAAACAUUUUUUCAAUAAAAGGAAAAAAUGAAGAAGAAGAAGAAAAAAAAAAACAACCUAAACUAAAAGCACCAAACUCAAAAUUAAGCCUGUUUUUCUUCACUUUCCCUAAAGAAUUCACAUUCUAUCAGAGCUUGUACUACCUCAAGUUGAAUUCAACUAAAACACCUGGUGUGAUAAGGCAUGUCUGAGUCACAGCACUUGAGAGAUAAAUUAAAACUCAAAUCACAAAAGAGGAUUUUUCAAGUUUAGUAUGUAUUUGCCCUUUAAAAUAUCAUUAUUUUCAUCACCACAAGAUUAUUCAAACAAUAAAGGCCACUCCCUCCAACAGUUUUCAGCCUCCAAAACUUUGCCCCUUUGCCUAUGUGAAAGCUGGGAGCAGCUCCCAGCUUUAGUUUGAUUACAGACAGAACAAAGUCCAGCAAUGAUUAUAACUAUGCUGGUCCAACAGGCAGGCAGGAAGAAGGAAAAAAGAUGCAAAUAGGGAAUCAAAAUAUAGGGAGGUACAGGAGUCUUCGUAGAAAAACCACCUGUGGGAGUGGGUAAAUUCUGAUCAAGCCUUGCAAUGUGACUCAGAUAAAUCACCCAUGUCUGCAACGAACAUGACAAGAGCCACUACGUAAUACAAUGUCUUCUACUUAUAAUUUAUUAUGACAACACAAUUUCCCAGGAGUGUACCAAUGUCCUUCAGAUCAGACGUGCUUAGUGUUACUCUGGCAGCAGGAGCCAGUGCGGGGUAGACACAAGAACAAACACCUGGUGUGAUAAGGCAUGUCUGAGUCACAGCACUUGAGAACCCAAGUCAGGAGGACUGAAAGGUCCAGGCCAGCCUAGAAAACAAGUUAAAGACCCUGCAUCAAAAUAACUAAAGAAAACAGAAGAACACAGACUUUUGAACAAGCUGCACUGCACUUUACACUCAAGAAAAGCCAACUGUUUGUCUGAGUGCCUGUCCAUGGUUCAAGCAUCCCAUCUUUCUGAACUUCAGUUAUAGCACUGAAAAAAAGGGCAAAUAAUGACUUUCAUGUGAAGAAAAUAAGUGAGACUCUAGCCCUCAAAUACUGUCCAUUUCCAUCUGAAAGAAGGGUAAAUCACAGAAUAAACUGAACCAAGUAACAGAAUGCAUCCCAGAUAUAAUCAUGUCUGGCAUAUAGCUGUCUCUGGUAAAUGCUAAUUCCUUUUUAAUUUACUCAUCAACACAAGAAAUCCAUACAUUGGUUUCCUACUUAACAGUUUUAUAGUUGCUCUACUUUUGUUUUUAUCAGACAAGGUCUUUUGCAGUUGGCUGACCUCAAAUUCACUAUUUAGCCAAGACUGACCUUGAACUCCUGAUCCCUCUGCCCCCACCUCCCACAUGCUGGGAUUAUAGGUGUGUGUUAAUGACGCCUGGCUUGUAACUGAUGUUCUUGAUAAUUUAACUUUUUGUGCUCAUAAAAUAAAUUCUAUAAAAUCC